GGGCCCGCACAAGCGGAGGAACAUGUGGUUUAAUUCGAUGAUACGCGAGGAACCUUACCCGGGUUUGAACGCAUUCGGACGGUAGUGGAAACAUUACUUCUAGCAAUAGCCGUUUGCGAGGUGCUGCAUGGUUGUCGUCAGCUCGUGCCGUGAGGUGUCGGCUUAAGUGCCAUAACGAGCGCAACCCUUAUCGAUAGUUACCAUCAGGUGAUGCUGGGGACUCUAUCGAGACUGCCGGCGUAAGCUGUGAGGAAGGUGGGGAUGACGUCAAAUCAGCACGGCCCUUACAUCCGGGGCGACACACGUGUUACAAUGGCGUGGACAAAAGGGCAGCUACCUGGUGACAGGAUGCUAAUCCCAAAAACCACGUCUCAGUUCGGAUCGAAGUCUGCAACCCGACUUCGUGAAGCUGGAUUCGCUAGUAAUCGCGCAUCAGCCAUGGCG
This 444-nucleotide ribosomal RNA is filed under the name uncultured Bacteroidota bacterium. RNAcentral's name for it is "bacterial SSU rRNA". It matches the Rfam family "Bacterial small subunit ribosomal RNA", at positions 917 to 1359 of the family's 1533-position model. Lineage: Bacteria; Pseudomonadati; Bacteroidota. The record is from RNAcentral.